RNAcentral lists this ribosomal RNA (253 nucleotides) under uncultured bacterium. Its description in RNAcentral is "partial 16S ribosomal RNA". It matches the Rfam family "Bacterial small subunit ribosomal RNA", at positions 524 to 776 of the family's 1533-position model. The record is from RNAcentral.
UACGUAGGUGGCAAGCGUUGUCCGGAUUUACUGGGCGUAAAGAGCGCGCAGGCGGUCGUUCAAGUCGCGUGUGAAAGCCCCCGGCUCAACUGGGGGGGGUCACGCGAUACUGAUCGACUCGAAGGCAGGAGAGGGUAGUGGAAUUCCCGGUGUAGUGGUGAAAUGCGUAGAUAUCGGGAGGAACACCAGUGGCGAAGGCGACUACCUGGCCUGUUCUUGACGCUGAGGCGCGAAAGCUAGGGGAGCAAACGGG